This 486-nucleotide ribosomal RNA is filed under the name uncultured bacterium. RNAcentral describes it as "partial 16S ribosomal RNA". It matches the Rfam family "Bacterial small subunit ribosomal RNA", at positions 30 to 507 of the family's 1533-position model. The record is from RNAcentral.
AUUGAACGCUGGCGGCAUGCCUUACACAUGCAAGUCGAACGGCAGCACGGGUGCUUGCACCUGGUGGCGAGUGGCGAACGGGUGAGUAAUACAUCGGAACAUGUCCUGUAGUGGGGGAUAGCCCGGCGAAAGCCGGAUUAAUACCGCAUACGAUCCACGGAUGAAAGCGGGGGACCUUCGGGCCUCGCGCUAUAGGGUUGGCCGAUGGCUGAUUAGCUAGUUGGUGGGGUAAAGGCCUACCAAGGCGACGAUCAGUAGCUGGUCUGAGAGGACGACCAGCCACACUGGGACUGAGACACGGCCCAGACUCCUACGGGAGGCAGCAGUGGGGAAUUUUGGACAAUGGGCGAAAGCCUGAUCCAGCAAUGCCGCGUGUGUGAAGAAGGCCUUCGGGUUGUAAAGCACUUUUGUCCGGAAAGAAAUCCUUGACUCUAAUACAGUCGGGGGAUGACGGUACUGGAAGAAUAAGCACCGGCUAACUACGUG